This 202-nucleotide ribosomal RNA is filed under the name uncultured bacterium. RNAcentral's name for it is "partial 16S ribosomal RNA". It matches the Rfam family "Bacterial small subunit ribosomal RNA", at positions 1299 to 1500 of the family's 1533-position model. The record is from RNAcentral.
UGCAGGCUGCAACUCGCCUGCAUGAAGCUGGAAUUGCUAGUAAUCGCGGAUCAGCAAGCCGCGGUGAAUACGUUCCCGGGCCUUGUACACACCGCCCGUCACACCAUGAGAGUCGGGAACACCCGAAGUCCGUAGUCUAACCGCAAGGGGGGCGCGGCCGAAGGUGGGUCCGGUAAUUGGGGUGAAGUCGUAACAAGGUACC